CGUUAUUAACAUUUAGCUACACAAAACAAUUUUGUGUUUUUUUUUAACAUGGACUCCCAUGAGGUCGCCAAAGUGAGGAAUAUUUUCCUUCUCUCCUCUGCAGGACAUUUUUGGCCUGUGAAACAUCUGGGGGGUGUCCAGCUGCUUCAGUGGUGGAGAAGUCUGAAGUUGCAGUUCAUAGACAGCAUGAGGAGAGCAAUGCACUGGAUUAGGUACCAUGUUGGAACAAGCAUGAAAUGAAUGUGCAAACACACAGCUUUUCUUACCAUGAAUAUGCAUGAAGCUCUGGAGCUGAAGAGCUCAGCUAAUUCAACAAAGUCAGCUUGGCAAUUCCAUUAAAUGUUCACAUUUUCCAUUUGUGAAGACAGAUCUGAGCUAAGAAAGAUAUUUAUAUCUGAAAUCUGUAGAAAACAAUUAUUCUAUUUUGUGACUAAGAAUGUCAAACUAAAGAACUUCACAAUACCUUUUCACUUUGUAAUUGUUUUUUUAUGAGUUCGGAAUGAAAUAUAUGACCCUAAUUUGGCACAUUGUUUGGUUCAUUUAAUUUGCAUCCACAAGCC
Long non-coding RNA from Gallus gallus (chicken), 560 nucleotides. Lineage: Eukaryota; Metazoa; Chordata; Aves; Galliformes; Phasianidae. The record is from Ensembl.